This 107-nucleotide small nuclear RNA is filed under the name Zalophus californianus (California sea lion). Lineage: Eukaryota; Metazoa; Chordata; Mammalia; Carnivora; Otariidae. The record is from RNAcentral.
GUGCUCACUUCAGCAGCACAUAUACUAAAAUUGGAACAAUACAGAGAAGAUCAGCAUGGCCCCUGCACAAGGAUGACAUGCAAAUUCGUGAAGUGUUCCAUAUCAAC